This 672-nucleotide long non-coding RNA is filed under the name Marmota monax (woodchuck). Lineage: Eukaryota; Metazoa; Chordata; Mammalia; Rodentia; Sciuridae. The record is from RNAcentral.
CUGAUUCUGAAAAUAGAAGUAAAACCAGGACUGGGAGAUAAUAUAUGUUUCCCUAAUUUUUCUCCUUCUUGAUCUUUAUAGCACUGAAGUGGAAAAAAAAAUGACAACUGAUAGUGCCUUUGAAUGAGACUCCCAAGAGUUGACUCACUGAAUCCUUCAGGACAGAGUCAAAGGCAAGCAAGCCUUCUGCACCACUUUCUGUUGCAUGACAAAUUAUUACCUACACAUACGUAAUAAAUGCCAAGAAAAGUCCAGUAUCUCAAGAUCUGAAACAAAGUACAGCUACAAUUGCUUUGUGAAGGAUGGACUUAAAGAAAAAAAAAAACAAUAUAGAAGAAAGCCAUUAAUUCCAGGAUGAACAUGUGACUACUUAGAAAAGGAGAUUGGUGAGUGGUUCUAAGAACUGAUAUUCUGGAGGAAGUGAGGAGCCUCAGGAUUCCUCAUCACGGGAAACUCCCUUCCCUCUUGACUAAUACAUCUGCUAUGUGAGCCUGCCACAGUCAUAAAAGAUGUUAGUGUCAACAGAAAAGAAAUGCAUAUUUUGUGCAUUUUGCCUUUACAUAGAAGAGGGGUUUAUUUUUAAUUAAGUGAUAUUUAAUCCUCUCUUAAGAGGCAUUUAUAGCGGCUUACAUGUAGGGGGUGAUUUCUAACUGGUUCCUUUCUACCUUUGGG